Molecule: ribosomal RNA, 494 nt
Filed under: Enterobacter roggenkampii
Lineage: Bacteria; Pseudomonadati; Pseudomonadota; Gammaproteobacteria; Enterobacterales; Enterobacteriaceae
Description: bacterial SSU rRNA
Rfam family: Bacterial small subunit ribosomal RNA
Source: RNAcentral
AGACAGGUGCUGCAUGGCUGUCGUCAGCUCGUGUUGUGAAAUGUUGGGUUAAGUCCCGCAACGAGCGCAACCCUUAUCCUUUGUUGCCAGCGGUCCGGCCGGGAACUCAAAGGAGACUGCCAGUGAUAAACUGGAGGAAGGUGGGGAUGACGUCAAGUCAUCAUGGCCCUUACGAGUAGGGCUACACACGUGCUACAAUGGCGCAUACAAAGAGAAGCGACCUCGCGAGAGCAAGCGGACCUCAUAAAGUGCGUCGUAGUCCGGAUUGGAGUCUGCAACUCGACUCCAUGAAGUCGGAAUCGCUAGUAAUCGUAGAUCAGAAUGCUACGGUGAAUACGUUCCCGGGCCUUGUACACACCGCCCGUCACACCAUGGGAGUGGGUUGCAAAAGAAGUAGGUAGCUUAACCUUCGGGAGGGCGCUUACCACUUUGUGAUUCAUGACUGGGGUGAAGUCGUAACAAGGUAACCGUAGGGGAACCUGCGGUUGGAUCAC